Molecule: ribosomal RNA, 292 nt
Filed under: uncultured bacterium
Lineage: Bacteria
Description: partial 16S ribosomal RNA
Rfam family: Bacterial small subunit ribosomal RNA
Source: RNAcentral
GUGCCAGCCGCCGCGGUAAUACGGAAGGGGCGAGCGUUGUUCGGAAUCAUUGGGCGUAAAGGGCGCGUAGGCGGUUGUGUUUGUCUACUGUGAAAGGCCACGGCUUACCUGUGGAGGUGCGGUAGAAACGGCACAACUUGAGGCUGGGAGGGGUUGGUGGAAUUCCCUGUGUAGCGGUGAAAUGCGUAGAUACGGGGGAGAACACUCGUGGCGAAGGCGGCCAACUGGCCCAGUCCUGACGCUGAGGCGCGACAGCGUGGGGAGCAAACAGGAUUAGAUACCCCCGUAGUCC